Molecule: long non-coding RNA, 2634 nt
Organism: Psammomys obesus (fat sand rat)
Lineage: Eukaryota; Metazoa; Chordata; Mammalia; Rodentia; Muridae
Exons: 2
Source: RefSeq, a predicted model, not a curated record
CUCUCUCCUGGGGCAGGCCAAUCAUCUAACUGUACCAAGAAGAAAGGACAGUAGCUGAGAGUUACAGGUGUUAAAACGUUAAGAACCCACUGGAUCAAGUUAGUGCUGCCUGUUGGAAGGCUGACUGAUCUUGGAGACUUGGCCUCUUGCGGGUAACCACAGCCACUGUGACCUCGUGAGUGCAAUGGCCACAUCAUAUCCCAAAGACAACGUAUUUAGCUCUCCUCCCAUCCUCCGGAUCUUAGAGUCUUGCCACCUCCCUGCCAAGAUGCUCUCUGAAUCUUGGGAAGAGGUGUGGUGGGUACAGAUGUCAUUUUUGGGCUGAGCAUUCCAUGUACAUUUAUUUUCAGCGCUUUAUGAGUCUCUGGCAUUAACUGCCGACUACUCCAGAGAGAAGCUUCUAUGCCAAGACUGAGGCCAGCACUUACCUGUGGGUCUAAGCAUAAAUGUUUGGAAGGAAGUCUGACAACAUGUAGUUCAGCAAAACAACAGUAGCAUGUUUUGGAACUAUGGACUUUUGACCAAGUUUAGAGUAUCAGGCCUGAAUUCCUCCCUGUGGAGCAGGCUCCAAGUCCUGUGCGAAAGCAGUUGGUCACCCCCGUAGCCUUUAUGCCAUGAUUGCACCGCUGUACAUAUGUCAUUGUGAUGGUUAUGAAAUAGACACAGUGUGGAUGUGAUGGGUUUAAAACUCCUACUUUUGGCAACUCACACACAUUUAUAAUUUUGUUGUUGCUGUUUUUUUUUUUUUUUUUUUUUUUUUUGAGACAGGGUUUCUCUGUGGAGCCUUGGCUGUCCUGAACUUGCUUUGUAGACCAGGCUGGCCUGGAACUCACAGAGAUCCACCUGCUUCUGCCUCCCUGAGUGCUGGGAUUACAAGUGUGUACCACCACACCUGGAAUACUUCAGCUUUUUGUGUUGGAGGGGGUGGAUUUGCCUCCUAGCAUUUAAGUUUCCUCUUUUUCAGCACAGCCUGGGCUCAAACUCACAAUGACUCCGAGGAUGGAUGGCCUUAAGCUUCUUAUCCUUCUGCCUUCACCUUGGAGUUCGGGGUCAUAGGCAUGCUUCACCAUGCUCAGAUCAUGUGAUGCUGGGAAGCAGGCUUUCUACAUGCUAGGCAAGCACUCUCCCCACCGAGCUGCAGCCCCAGCCUGUGUAAGUUUCCUUACGGGCUCACAGACAUCCCAGCCAUCAGACUGACUGUCACCAGCUCACAGACAUCCUGGCCAUCAGACUGUCAUCAGCAGCAAUACCACAGAAACGACACAAAAUUAGUGAGUUUAUUGAUCAAGAAAAAUACAGACAGACUUGAGGAAAUCCAAGUUUGGAUAGUAAGAGAAAAUCCAACCAGUGUUUGGCACAUGUCUGGGAUCCCAGUGCUCAGAAGGCUGAUGCAGGGGGUUGAUGCAAAUUCAAAGCCAGCGGAGUGAUAAUAGCUAGUAAUGGGAAGCCAGGGCCUCUCUCCAAACAAAAUCAAACGACCAAAACCAAGAGAGGGUUGCUCCUUCAAGCCUUAGCAUAGCUGUAUAAAUGAUGUGAGGCUUUUGAAGCAAGCUCUUUCUGCGAUCAUCUAAAACUAAGGCUGCAGGAGAGGAAAAAAUGUUCGGCUUUCCCAUUUCCUUAUUGAAAGACGCUUGUCUUUAAGGUCAGGAUUUAGGUGUGGCUGGCAGCUUCUGGGGUAUCCCCCAACAAGACAGGAAUGCCCGUGGGUGGGCAGCAGGCCUCCAGAUGGACCACUCAGGAGAAGCUCUCAGGGAUUAGUGUCCUCUCUAUUGUAUGUGAACAACUUCGUAUAUCAAUUGGGAUGACUGACACAUUGCCUCCGAUUGGACAGAGCUUAUACCUCCAGGGUCUCUAUGCGGAAGAAGAGCAUAAAAGGAAAACGCAGACUUCAGUGGGCCAGCUACUGGCUACUCACACUGCUCCAGAGUUCAGGGUGCUGACGUGUGGGAGUACUUAGGAACACAGUGAGAGAUGCUUCUUAUUUAGAGACACAGUGUGUUGGGUCAGCUGUCUCCAGUGCAUGCCUGCAUUCUCUGCUACAGUUGGGAUCUCACGUCGUCUUCUACCUUGCAGAGUAGCUGAGGAUGAUCUUGAAUUUCUGACUGUUCUGCUUCUGCGCCAUGUCCUGAGCCGGGGAAUACAGGCAUGUGCUACCUGCUCAGGUUCUGUGGUGCUGGGGCUUACACCCAGGGCUUGGUGCCUUCCAGACAAGCACACUAUCUCCUCAGCCCAAGAAUUCCCUAAUAAAUAAAGAGUUAUAGAGUUACUUUUGCGGGUACUGGCUGUGGAAAGGUGCUGCUUACUGACUUGUUCCUCAUGGCUUGCUCAGCCUGCUGUCUUAUAGAACCUAGGACCAGCAACCCAGGGAUGGCCCCACCCACAGCGUGCUGGCUCCUCCCCCAUUGAUCACUAAUUAAGAAAAUACCUUACAGCUGGAUCUUAUGGAGGCAUUUUCUCAACUGAGGCUCCCUCCUUUCAAAUGACUCUAGCUUGCUUCAAGUUGACUUAAAGCUAGCUGGCACAGCUUUUUUUUUUUUUUGUAUUAUCUUGUUUUUCUGUUUAGUAUAGACUGUAAAUGUAACCAUAAUAAACUGACCUCUUCAGAGAGUCAAAUAAAUCUCUUUCCUAAAAGAA